GCCUGGGUGGCUCAGUCGGUUAAGCGCCUGACUUCGGCUCAGGUCGUGAUCUCGUGGUUCGUGAGUUCAAGCCCCGCAUCAGGCU
This 85-nucleotide transfer RNA is filed under the name Felis catus (domestic cat). It matches the Rfam family "tRNA". Rfam says of the family: Transfer RNA (tRNA) molecules are approximately 80 nucleotides in length. Their secondary structure includes four short double-helical elements and three loops (D, anti-codon, and T loops). The record is from Rfam by way of RNAcentral. Lineage: Eukaryota; Metazoa; Chordata; Mammalia; Carnivora; Felidae. RNAcentral also lists the same sequence under 2 other names.